UUUGAACCUCUUGCCACCUUA
RNAcentral lists this non-coding RNA (21 nucleotides) under Caenorhabditis elegans. The record is from RNAcentral. Lineage: Eukaryota; Metazoa; Nematoda; Chromadorea; Rhabditida; Rhabditidae.